GACGAACGCUGGCGGCGUGCCUAAUACAUGCAAGUAGAACGCACAGUUUAUACCGUAGCUUGCUACACCAUAGACUGUGAGUUGCGAACGGGUGAGUAACGCGUAGGUAACCUGCCUGGUAGCGGGGGAUAACUAUUGGAAACGAUAGCUAAUACCGCAUAAUAUUGAUUAUUGCAUGAUAAUUAAUUGAAAGGUGCAAUUGCACCACUACCAGAUGGACCUGCGUUGUAUUAGCUAGUAGGUGAGGUAACGGCUCACCUAGGCGACGAUACAUAGCCGACCUGAGAGGGGGAUCGGCCACACUGGGACUGAGACACGGCCCAGACUCCUACGGGAGGCAGCAGUAGGGAAUCUUCGGCAAUGGACGAAAGUCUGACCGAGCAACGCCGCGGGAGUGAAGAAGGUUUUCGGAUCGUAAAGCUCGGUUGUAAGAGAAGAACGGGUGUGAGAGUGGAAAGUUCACACUGUGACGGUAUCUUACCAGAGAGGGACGGCUAACUACGUG
This 505-nucleotide ribosomal RNA is filed under the name uncultured bacterium. RNAcentral's name for it is "partial 16S ribosomal RNA". It matches the Rfam family "Bacterial small subunit ribosomal RNA", at positions 28 to 507 of the family's 1533-position model. The record is from RNAcentral.